UUCGUAGGUGAACCUGCGGAAGGAU
This 25-nucleotide ribosomal RNA is filed under the name Cortinarius puellaris. RNAcentral's name for it is "partial 18S ribosomal RNA". The record is from RNAcentral. Lineage: Eukaryota; Fungi; Basidiomycota; Agaricomycetes; Agaricales; Cortinariaceae.